GAUGAAGCUGGAGCUUGCUCUAGUGGAUUAGUGGCGAACGGGUGANUAACACGUGAGCAAUCUGCCCUUGACUCUGGGAUAACUGCGGGAAACUGUAGCUAAUACCGGAUACGACACCUUGGGGCAUCCCGAGGUGUGGAAAGAAUUUCGGUCAAGGAUGAGCUCGCGGCCUAUCAGCUUGUUGGUGAGGUAAAAGCUCACCAAGGCGACGACGGGUAGCCGGCCUGAGAGGGUGACCGGCCACACUGGAACUGAGAUACGGUCCAGACUCCUACGGGAGGCAGCAGUGGGGAAUAUUGCACAAUGGGCGAAAGCCUGAUGCAGCAACGCCGCGUGAGGGAUGAAGGCCUUCGGGUUGUAAACCUCUUUUAUCAGGGAAGAAGCGAAAGUGACGGUACCUGAAGAAAAAGCACCGGCUAACUACGUGCCAGCAGCCGCGGUAAUACGUAGGGUGCAAGCGUUGUCCGGAAUUAUUGGGCGUAAAGAGCUCGUAGGCGGUUUGUCGCGUCUGCUGUGAAAAUCCAAGGCUCAACCUUGGACCUGCAGUGGGUACGGGCAGACUAGAGUGCGGUAGGGGAGAUGGGAAUUCCUGGUGUAGCGGUGGAAUGCGCAGAUAUCAGGAGGAACACCAAUGGCGAAGGCACAUCUCUGGGCCGUAACUGACGCUGAGGAGCGAAAGCGUGGGGAGCGAACAGGAUUAGAUACCCUGGUAGUCCACGCCGUAAACGGUGGGUGCUAGUUGUGGGCCACAUUCCACGUGGUCCGUGACGAAGUUAACACAUUAAGCACCCCGCCUGGGGAGUACGGUCGCAAGACUAAAACUCAAAGGAAUUGACGGGGGCCCGCACAAGCGGCGGAGCAUGCGGAUUAAUUCGAUGCAACGCGAAGAACCUUACCNAGGCUUGACAUAUAGAGGAAACGUGCAGAANUGU
This 932-nucleotide ribosomal RNA is filed under the name uncultured bacterium. RNAcentral's name for it is "bacterial SSU rRNA". It matches the Rfam family "Bacterial small subunit ribosomal RNA", at positions 68 to 1009 of the family's 1533-position model. The record is from RNAcentral.